Molecule: ribosomal RNA, 460 nt
Filed under: Escherichia coli
Lineage: Bacteria; Pseudomonadati; Pseudomonadota; Gammaproteobacteria; Enterobacterales; Enterobacteriaceae
Description: partial 23S ribosomal RNA
Rfam family: Bacterial large subunit ribosomal RNA
Source: RNAcentral
CGAAUGCUGACAUAAGUAACGAUAAAGCGGGUGAAAAGCCCGCUCGCCGGAAGACCAAGGGUUCCUGUCCAACGUUAAUCGGGGCAGGGUGAGUCGACCCCUAAGGCGAGGCCGAAAGGCGUAGUCGAUGGGAAACAGGUUAAUAUUCCUGUACUUGGUGUUACUGCGAAGGGGGGACGGAGAAGGCUAUGUUGGCCGGGCGACGGUUGUCCCGGUUUAAGCGUGUAGGCUGGUUUUCCAGGCAAAUCCGGAAAAUCAAGGCUGAGGCGUGAUGACGAGGCACUACGGUGCUGAAGCAACAAAUGCCCUGCUUCCAGGAAAAGCCUCUAAGCAUCAGGUAACAUCAAAUCGUACCCCAAACCGACACAGGUGGUCAGGUAGAGAAUACCAAGGCGCUUGAGAGAACUCGGGUGAAGGAACUAGGCAAAAUGGUGCCGUAACUUCGGGAGAAGGCACGCUG